This 460-nucleotide ribosomal RNA is filed under the name uncultured bacterium. RNAcentral describes it as "partial 16S ribosomal RNA". It matches the Rfam family "Bacterial small subunit ribosomal RNA", at positions 338 to 795 of the family's 1533-position model. The record is from RNAcentral.
CCUACGGGCGGCAGCAGUGAGGAAUAUUGGUCAAUGGGCGCGAGCCUGAACCAGCCAAGUAGCGUGAAGGAUGACUGCACUACGGGUUGUAAACUUCUUUUAUAAAGGAAUAAAGUGAGGCACGUGUGCCUUUUUGUAUGUACUUUAUGAAUAAGGAUCGGCUAACUCCGUGCCAGCAGCCGCGGUAAUACGGAGGAUCCGAGCGUUAUCCGGAUUUAUUGGGUUUAAAGGGAGCGUAGAUGGGUUGUUAAGUCAGUUGUGAAAGUUUGCGGCUCAACCGUAAAAUUGCAAUUGAUACUGGCAGCCUUGAGUACAGGUGAGGUAGGCGGAAUGCGUGGUGUAGCGGUGAAAUGCUUAGAUAUCACGAAGAACUCCGAUUGCGAAGGCAGCUUACUAAACUGACACUGACAUUGAGGCUCGAAAGUGUGGGUAUCAAACAGGAUUAGAUACCCUGGUAGUC